Molecule: ribosomal RNA, 448 nt
Filed under: uncultured bacterium
Lineage: Bacteria
Description: bacterial SSU rRNA
Rfam family: Bacterial small subunit ribosomal RNA
Source: RNAcentral
CCAGACUCCUACGGGAGGCAGCAGUGGGGAAUAUUGCACAAUGGGCGAAAGCCUGAUGCAGCAACGCCGCGUGAAGGAAGAAGGGUUUCGGCUCGUAAACUUCUAUCAACAGGGACGAAAGAAAUGACGGUACCUGAAUAAGAAGCCCCGGCUAACUACGUGCCAGCAGCCGCGGUAAUACGUAGGGGGCAAGCGUUAUCCGGAUUUACUGGGUGUAAAGGGAGCGUAGACGGCAAGGCAAGCCAGAAGUGAAAGGGCAGGGCUCAACCCUGUACAUGCUUUUGGAACUGUGGUGCUAGAGUGCAGGAGAGGUAAGUGGAAUUCCUAGUGUAGCGGUGAAAUGCGUAGAUAUUAGGAGGAACACCAGUGGCGAAGGCGGCUUACUGGACUGUAACUGACGUUGAGGCUCGAAAGCGUGGGGAGCAAACAGGAUUAGAUACCCGCGUAA